AACGUAGGAGACAAACGUUAUCCGGAGUUACUGGGCGUAAAGGGCGUGUAGGUGGUUUCGUAAGUCUGGCGUGAAAUUUUUCGGCUUAACCGGGAAAGGUCGUCGGAUACUGCGGAACUAGAGGACGGUAGAGGCGUGUGGAAUUCCGGGUGUAGUGGUGAAAUGCGCAGAUAUCGGGAGGAACACCGGUGGCGAAGGCGGUUCUCUGGGCCUGUACUGACGCUGAGGAGCGAAAGCGUGGGGAGCGAACAGG
RNAcentral lists this ribosomal RNA (253 nucleotides) under uncultured bacterium. Its description in RNAcentral is "partial 16S ribosomal RNA". It matches the Rfam family "Bacterial small subunit ribosomal RNA", at positions 524 to 776 of the family's 1533-position model. The record is from RNAcentral.